Molecule: long non-coding RNA, 845 nt
Filed under: Homo sapiens (human)
Lineage: Eukaryota; Metazoa; Chordata; Mammalia; Primates; Hominidae
Description: HSALNT0272449
Source: RNAcentral
UAAAAGAGAAUUGAGAGCUGAGAAAUAACGCAGCACACCUACAAGCAUCUGAUCUUCAACAAAGUCACAAAAACAAGCAACAAAGAAAGGACUCCCUAUUUAAUAAACGGUUCUGGGAUAACUAGCUAGCCAUAUGCAGAAGAUUGAAACUGGACCCCUGCCUAUUACCAUAUACAAAAACCAACUCAAGAUGGAAUAAAGACUUAAAUGUAAAACCUAAAACUAUAAAAACCCAGAUGGUAACCUAGGAAGUACCAUUCUGGAAAUAGGACCUGGCAAAGAUCUUAUGACAAAGAUGCCAAAAGCUAUUGCAACAAAAAAAAAAAAUUGACAAAUGUGACCUAAUUAAAUUUAAGAGCUUCUUCACAGCAAAAGAAACUAUCAACAGACUAAACAGACAACCUACAGAAUGGGAGAAAAUAUUUGCAAACUAUGCAUCAGAAUCUAUAAGGAGCUUAAAUCAAUAAGCAUAAAACAUACAACCCCAUUAAAACAUGUCUGCUCAUGUCACAUUAGCAUUGAAACACUAUCCAAACUAUUGUUUUGGAAGUUAAGAUACUGAAGAAAUAAACCCCUUGAUAUAUAAACAGUAGCUUGGAGGUCAUGUUUCUAGCACCUUCUCGUGCCUUGAAAAUUAGCUAAGUUAGCUGCAUCUUCCUAGAACUGUAGAGGGAAGCCAGAGGUAGUUCAAAAUGCUGACUUUCUAUAAACUAAGCCCAGCUGGGGAAUAUAAUUCAGACCACAUAGAAAACACUUUUUCCCCAUUUUUAUCCCUUCUCAGACCUCCUAAUGCACUGCUCAAGCAAUUAAAUCUCCUUAUACUCAUGAGGCAUUUCCUAAGUGCC